RNAcentral lists this ribosomal RNA (497 nucleotides) under uncultured bacterium. RNAcentral describes it as "partial 16S ribosomal RNA". It matches the Rfam family "Bacterial small subunit ribosomal RNA", at positions 28 to 507 of the family's 1533-position model. The record is from RNAcentral.
GACGAACGCUGGCGGUGUGCCUAAUACAUGCAAGUUGAGCGCUGAAGGUUGGUACUUGUACCAACUGGAUGAGCAGCGAACGGGUGAGUAACGCGUGGGGAAUCUGCCUUUGAGCGGGGGACAACAUUUGGAAACGAAUGCUAAUACCGCAUAAAAACUUUAAACACAAGUUUUAAGUUUGAAAGAUGCAAUUGCAUCACUCAAAGAUGACCCCGCGUUGUAUUAGCUAGUUGGUGAGGUAAAGGCUCACCAAGGCGAUGAUACAUAGCCGACCUGAGAGGGUGAUCGGCCACAUUGGGACUGAGACACGGCCCAAACUCCUACGGGAGGCAGCAGUAGGGAAUCUUCGGCAAUAGACGAAAGUCUGACCGAGCAACGCCGCGUGAGUGAAGAAGGUUGUCGGAUCGUAAAACUCUGUUGGUAGAGAAGAACGUUGGUGAGAGUGGAAAGCUCAUCAAGUGACGGUAACUACCCAGAAAGGGACGGCUAACUACGUG